CAGUAGCCGCGGUAAUACGAAGGGGGCUAGCGUUGCUCGGAAUGACUGGGCGUAAAGGGCGCGUAGGCGGCGGCCAAAGUCAGGCGUGAAAUUCCCGGGCUCAACCUGGGGGCUGCGUUUGAUACUUGGUUGCUUGAGUGGGGAAGAGGGUCGUGGAAUUCCCAGUGUAGAGGUGAAAUUCGUAGAUAUUGGGAAGAACACCGGUGGCGAAGGCGGCGACCUGGUCCUUUACUGACGCUGAGGCGCGAAAGCGUGGGGAGCAAACAGGAUUAGAUACCCCAGUAGUCCCUGUCUCUUAUAC
This 301-nucleotide ribosomal RNA is filed under the name uncultured bacterium. RNAcentral's name for it is "partial 16S ribosomal RNA". It matches the Rfam family "Bacterial small subunit ribosomal RNA", at positions 509 to 807 of the family's 1533-position model. The record is from RNAcentral.